AGCGAACGCUGGCGGCAGGCCUAACACAUGCAAGUCGAACGAACUCUUCGGAGUUAGUGGCGGACGGGUGAGUAACACGUGUGAACGUGCCUUUUGGUUCGGAAUAACUCAGGGAAACUUGUGCUAAUACCGAAUGUGCCCUUCGGGGGAAAGAUUUAUCGCCAUUAGAGCGGCCCGCGUCUGAUUAGCUAGUUGGUGAGGUAACGGCUCACCAAGGCGACGAUCAGUAGCUGGUCUGAGAGGAUGACCAGCCACACUGGGACUGAGACACGGCCCAGACUCCUACGGGAGGCAGCAGUGGGGAAUCUUGCGCAAUGGGCGAAAGCCUGACGCAGCCAUGCCGCGUGAAUGAUGAAGGUCUUAGGAUUGUAAAAUUCUUUCACCGGGGACGAUAAUGACGGUACCCGGAGAAGAAGCCCCGGCUAACUUCGUG
Molecule: ribosomal RNA, 433 nt
Filed under: uncultured bacterium
Lineage: Bacteria
Description: partial 16S ribosomal RNA
Rfam family: Bacterial small subunit ribosomal RNA
Source: RNAcentral